RNAcentral lists this ribosomal RNA (253 nucleotides) under uncultured bacterium. Its description in RNAcentral is "partial 16S ribosomal RNA". It matches the Rfam family "Bacterial small subunit ribosomal RNA", at positions 524 to 776 of the family's 1533-position model. The record is from RNAcentral.
UACGUAGGGAGCUAGCGUUGUUCGGAAUUACUGGGCGUAAAGCGCGCGUAGGCGGCUUUGUAAGUUAGAGGUGAAAGCCCGGGGCUCAACCCCGGAACUGCCUUUAAGACUGCAUCGCUUGAAUCCGGGAGAGGUGAGUGGAACUCCGAGUGUAGAGGUGAAAUUCGUAGAUAUUCGGAAGAACACCAGUGGCGAAGGCGGCUCACUGGCCCGGUACUGACGCUGAGGUGCGAAAGCGUGGGGAGCAAACAGG